RNAcentral lists this ribosomal RNA (219 nucleotides) under uncultured bacterium. Its description in RNAcentral is "partial 16S ribosomal RNA". It matches the Rfam family "Bacterial small subunit ribosomal RNA", at positions 1282 to 1500 of the family's 1533-position model. The record is from RNAcentral.
GCCGUCCCAGUUCGGAUUGCAGGCUGCAACCCGCCUGCAUGAAGUUGGAAUCGCUAGUAAUCGCGGAUCAGCAUGCCGCGGUGAAUACGUUCCCGGGCCUUGUACACACCGCCCGUCACACCAUGAGAGUCGGGAACACCCGAAGUCCGUAGCCUAACCGCAAGGGGGGCGCGGCCGAAGGUGGGUUCGAUAAUUGGGGUGAAGUCGUAACAAGGUACC